This 3437-nucleotide long non-coding RNA is filed under the name Homo sapiens (human). RNAcentral's name for it is "LHRI_LNC1757.1". Lineage: Eukaryota; Metazoa; Chordata; Mammalia; Primates; Hominidae. The record is from RNAcentral.
AGUGUGUAGAAACACGACUGAUUUUUGUGUGUUGAUUUUGUAUUCUGCAGCCUUGCUAAAUUUGUUUAUUAGCUUUAAGAGGCUAUUUUUGGUAUUCUUUAGGGCUUUCUACACUUAUAUCACUUGCAAAUAGAGAUAGUUUUACUUCUUCCUUUCUAAUUUGGAUUUAUUUUAUUUCUUUUUCUUGCCUGAUGGGUCUGGCUAGAACUGCCAAUACUAUGUUGAAUAGAAGUGGCAAACACAGGCAUCCAUGGCUUCUGAUUUUAGUGGAAAAGCUUGAAAUUUUUCCCCAUUGAGAAUGAUGUCAGUCGUGAGUUUUUAAUACAUGGUCUUUAUCAUGUUGAGACAGUUCCUUUCUAUUCCUGGUUUGUUGAACAGUUCUAUCAUAAAGGAGGAAUGGAUUUUCUCAAAUGUUCUUCUAUAUCAAUUGAGAUGAUCAUGAGUUUUUCACUCCUUCAUUCUAUUACUUGGUGUAUUACAUCGACUGAUUUUCAUACGUUAAACCACUCUUAAAUUUCUGGGAUAAAUCUCAGUUGGUCAUAGUGUAAAAUUCUUUUAAGGGCUGCUGAAUUUAAUUUCCUAGUAUUUUGUUGGGGAUUUUUGUAUCUAUAAUGCAUUCAUAGGGGACAUUUGGCUAUAGUUUUCUUGUAUUGUCUGUCUAGCUUUGGUAUCAGGGUAAUGUUGGCUUCAUAGAAUGACUCAGAAAGGGUUCUGUUUCUCAACUUUUUGGAGGAGUUCGAGAAGGAUUAGUGUUAAUUCAUUUCUAAACGUUUGGUAGAAUUCACCAGCGAAGUCAUCAGUUCCUGGGCUUUUCUUUGUUAGGAGAGUUUUGGUUGCUGAUUCAAUCAGAAUUGAAUAUCAUUACUUUUUAUAGAUCUAUUCAGAUUUAUUCUUUGUUCUUGAGUCAACUUUGUUGGUUUGUAUGUUUCUAGGAAUUUGUCUGUUUCAUCUAGGUUAUCCAAUUUUUUGACAUAUAGCUCUUAUACGAAUUCUCUUACAAUCCUUUUUAUUCCUAUAAAUCAGUAGUAGUGUCUUUCAUUUCUGAUUUUAGUAGUUGAGUAUUCUUUUUCCUUAAUCUAGUUAAAGCUUUGUCAACUUUGUUGAUCUCUUCAAAGAACUAAUUUUUUGUUUCAUUGAUUCUAUUGUUUUUCUAUUCUCUAUUUCAUUUAUUUUUGCUCUAAUCCUUAUUAUUUCCUUCCUCUUUAUGGCUUCAAACUCAAUUGAACAUAAAGUAUUAAGAAAUUUGACUUUUUUUCUCAAAUGUCUAAAAUGUAAGAAGAAAUAUGUCUAGAGUCAUCAAAAAGCAGCCUGUUUGUCAGAUUUACUGUUUAAUCCAUGUAAACAGCUUUCAUAUAAUUCAUGAUAGAAUAUUACUAUGUGCUUUGGAAGACACUGAGGAAAGACAAAAGGUCAUUGGGCAGAACCACCCUAGAUUGACUGUUAAGGCCAUCUUCUAGUUUGCAGGACUUGUGGUAGACAGACAGAAUAAUAUCCUGGACCUCUUGGGUGUAUACAGGACAAACUGAAAUAAACUCUCAUUUUUAGAUCAUAAUGUCAUCAUGAAACAUAUCAAUUCGGUCUAUUUCUGAAGAAAACAAGCACAAUGAUAAAGUUUGAAUGUUUGUCUCCUCCAAAUCUCAUGCUGACAUUUGAUCCCCAAUGUUGGAGGUGGGGCGCACUGGGAGGUGUUUUGGUUACGGGGGCAGAUCCCUCAUGAAUGGCUUGGUGCUGUCUUCAUGGGAUUAUGUUCUCACUCCUACUUCCUGUGAGAUCUUAUUGUUAAAAAGAAUCUGAUACCUUCCUCCCCUCUCUUGCUCUCUUCCUCCCUGAUCAUGUGACACACGGGUUCCCCUUUGCCUUCCACCACGAUGGAGGCUUCCUGAGGCCCUCAACAGAAGCAGAUGCUGGUGCCAUGCUUCUCGUACAGCCUGCAGAAUUGUGUGAGCCAAAUAAACCUCUUUUCCUUAUAUAUUACCCAGCCUCAGGUAUUUGUUUAUAGCAAUAAAAACAGACUGAGACACAUGAUGAAGACCCUUUGAUAUCCUAUAAAUAUUGAUUUCUCUCCCUGAGAGAAGAGCAUGAAUCUAAGUGAUGCCAUUACUGUAAUGUGAAUUCCACAACUUUUCUCAAAGAUGUGGCCCAUAUGUUUCUAAUAAUGGCUUUCUAAGAAUCUGUUCUGAAGGGGUACCUUCUCUCUGAUUUUCAUUUGCAUUUCCUGCUUAGCUUACACACUUCAACUUGCCUAUCCACCUGUCCUGACCCCAAUAACCUCCAUCAUCAGACAUCUCAUCUUACCUACCUACUUUCUACUUUUCCCAGUCCUUCCCGUGCUUCAUAAACCAUGAUCAUGAGCUAGAGACACAAGGUCAUAGCUAAGGAGUUGGGAUCAGAAAAUCACCUUCUGUGAUUUUCCAUUAUUCUCAAUACGUAACUUCAACAAAAUCAAGAAAAUCAUGAAAGGACAUCCUAAGGGGUCAGGUGAGGUUGCAGUGGGGUUAGUCGGUCAAUAGUUUCUUUAUGCCAAUUAGGAUUUCUGCAGAAAACAAUGAAACACUGGUUUAAACAGUAAAAAUAUUUUAAUUCCUUACAGAAGCCCAUGGAACAUACACUCCAGGUUUAAUUCAUCAGCUCAAUAGCAUCAUCAACGACUUAGGUUCUUUCCACUUUCUGCUUGUCAUCUGUGUUGGCUUUAUUUUCAAGCUAGCUCCUCCCUGGUUGCAAGAUAAUUGCAGCAGGUUUAGUUAUCAUAUUCGGACAUGCUAACGCCCAGGCUAGUGAUCCCUUCCUUACAUUUCUUUCUCAUUUUAAGAACAAAGUGUUUAAAAAAUUAUACUUAAAAUUAUUGGCAUCUCUGUCAAUUGAAAGAUGUCAAUCUCUUUCAUUUUUCCUAAUCACUAAUAACAUCUACUAAAAACAAAAUGUCUGUGUAAAUAAUUUAUUUGAAUAAAAUUAAAGUUGUUGAGUGAGCUCGGCUUUUGAGGAGUGGGAAAGGAGGGGUGCAUAGAUUAGUGGAAGAUGAGAAGCUAGUGGGGCUCAAGUCCAGCAGGAGCAGGAGUUUGGAGCCAGGACUUCCUAGCCUCUCAGGGUUUUUUUUUAACUUCCUUACCUGAAAUGAUUUGUGCUAUAUAACUUGUCCUGGCUAAACUUUCUUAAUCUCAACUGUUUCAUUUAAUCAAUAACAACUACUGCGCCACCUUCAUAAUAUCAAUUUUCAGCAUUUCAUUUACUGAAUAUCAUUUCCUUUCCUUCCAGACUAUUCUACUGUGUCAAAUUCAAUAUUCCUUUGACUCAAUAGGAUCUCCAAUCCAGUGACCCCAUUAUUUGUUUGUUUAUUAGGACAAGAAAAACAAACUUUCCCAGAAACUCCCCAGUAGACUGCUCCUCAUAUCUCGUUGGCUAGAACUGAGUUGCGUGCCCAUUCCUAAAACAAAACUGGC